UACGUAGGGUGCGAGCGUUGUCCGGAAUUAUUGGGCGUAAAGGGCUCGUAGGCGGUUUGUCGCGUCGGGAGUGAAAACUCAGGGCUUAACCCUGAGCCUGCUUCCGAUACGGGCAGACUAGAGGUAUGCAGGGGAGAACGGAAUUCCUGGUGUAGCGGUGAAAUGCGCAGAUAUCAGGAGGAACACCGGUGGCGAAGGCGGGCCUCUGGGCCGUAACUGACGCUGAGGAGCGAAAGCGUGGGGAGCGAACAGG
RNAcentral lists this ribosomal RNA (253 nucleotides) under uncultured bacterium. RNAcentral's name for it is "partial 16S ribosomal RNA". It matches the Rfam family "Bacterial small subunit ribosomal RNA", at positions 524 to 776 of the family's 1533-position model. The record is from RNAcentral.